Molecule: small nuclear RNA, 111 nt
Filed under: Castor canadensis (American beaver)
Lineage: Eukaryota; Metazoa; Chordata; Mammalia; Rodentia; Castoridae
Source: RNAcentral
GUGCCCACUUCAGCAACAUAUAAACUGAAACUGGAAUGAUUCAGUAAAGAAGAUUAGCAUGGUCCCUGCACAAGGAUGACAUAGAAACAGAGUGUAAAUUAGUGAUUGUCU